UUUAGUGGCAGUUAUGAAUCGAAUUUGGCGUAAGGACUGAAUUGAAGACGAUUGUUGGGGCUAUUGCUUCCACCAAAAAGGAAACCCCAAUUGCAAACUUUCUUGUGAGUUUUUAAGCUCAUAACAUUCUCCCAGGUCUGUCUCUCUUAUCUACGUCUAUUCAAAAAAAUUUAUGUUCCUGAUGUGUUUCAAUCCCAUUCAGUUUGAUAUCACCGAAUUUAGUUGGGGUUAGGAAAAACUGGGAUUAGAUUUAGGAUUAUAAUAAAUUGGCCAGUUGUUAAUGGAACUGCAAUUGGUUGAAAAGGGUUUUGAUUAUGCGUGUAAAAGGAAGAAAUGGAUCCUGAUUUUGUGUGCGGUUGGGUUGGGUGGGUACGGUGCUUACAGGGUUUAUCAUGCGCCUUCCAUAACUCGUAAGAGAAAAAAAAUUUCUAAGGUGAUGGGUGCAUUGGUUUCCGUAGCAGAAGCCAUAUCCGAAUCUGCAGAGACAAUUGGUGUGGUCUCCGGAGACAUGAAGGAUUUUUUGCAGUCUGAUUCGGAUGAAGUGCCCAAUAGCUUGAAGCAAAUUUCCAAAAUUGCUCGCUCUGAACACUUUUCAGAUUCUUUUGUCAGCGUAACCCGUGCUCUGACUGUGGGGGUCUUGCGUGGUUAUCAAUCUAUGAACCGGACCGAUGCUGAUCAAACCAGUACCGGUUCAAGUUCAACCGUCGUGGACCGGCUGCUGGACAAACUUCUAACACCAGCUGGGUCAGGCUUUGCUUCUGUAGUUCUCGGAAGCUUUGCUAGGAACCUGGUUCUUGCCUACUAUUCAGAUCCUAAUGCCCAUGCCCAUGCCCAUGCCCACUUUGGUGGAGAAUCGAAUUCAAGUAAUGCAACUAGUGGUGUUACACAUGUUGGCUCCAAGUCUGGUCCUGUUCCAACAUGGGUUGAUGUAGUUUGUGGUGAAAGGUGCGGGGAACUAAUUGGGAAUUGUGUCCAAUUGUUUGUGAGCACUGCUGUUGCUGUUUAUCUUGACAAGACCAUGGGUAUCAACCCCUAUGAUGAUUUCUUUGCUGGCUUAACUAACCCAAAGUAUGAGACUAGAAUGAGAGACAUACUUUUAUCUCUUUGUAAUGGUUCCAUAGAGACUCUCGUCAAAACAUCUCACCAAGUGUUAACGAGUUCAAAUCCCAAUGUUAAUUCAAGUUCACCUUCUUAUUUGGCUAUUGGAGAAACUCCAAGUCCAGCCAGAAAUGAGGACUUGGGUGUAGAAACAUCAUCAAUUGAAUCAAAAGCAGGAGAUGUUUGCGAUGAAGAAAAUGAGAGUGGCUGGGUCAGCAAGGUUUCUUCCACAUUGGCUGUUCCCAGUAAUAGGAGGCUUGUUCUUGAUGUGACCGGGAGGGUGACAUUUGAGACAGUUAGAUCGUUCAUGGAGUUUCUUUUACAGACAUUUUGUGCUUCUGUAAAAAGAUGUGCUCAUAUUGUUCACGAUGCACUGGUUGAGAUUGUGAGAUAUGCUGCAGCUAAAUCCUCUGUUAUUGUGACGAUAUGUCUGUCGUUGUGCCUGCACAUAAUGGGUGGCGCUUGGGCUUUGGUGCCUGCUUAAGUAGUUGUCACUAGUUUCGUUCACCAAAUACAUGUGAUUCAUCAUUUUGAACUAGAAAAUUUUUCUAAUGCUGCUGCUUCUUUGGCUAUGCAGCUACAUCAUAAUAUCUUCAUAUCAUACAUGGAUAAAUUUUAUUAAUGAUUUUGAAAAACAUCAUGAAGGGCCGGCUUGGCUCAGCGGUAAGCUUGCUUGCCGUGGUGUGUCAGGUCGCGGGUUCGAAUCAGCCUCUCUGCAAAAAGCAGGGGAAAGACUGCCUAGAGUAUUCCCUUCCCCAGACACUCACGAAGUGGGUAUUUGAACUGGGUCGGCCCUUUAUUUUGAAAAACAUUAUUGUAUUAAUUAUUAAAGAAUGUACAGUGACCAUAGACGUGAUCCUUCCUGCAGUUAUGUCUUCUCUUACAUUGUAGCCCUCAUAAUCAUGGGACAGCCACAUUCCAGAACUCCCUCGCAGAAAACCUGGCAUUCAUCAUCCAGCAGUCUUGUACUCUUGUUUGUUUAGGGGCGUAAUCAUUAAUGAUUAGACACAUUCUCGAAUUGGAAUCUUCUUUUAGUUUUAUGAUAAAACUGGAUGAGAGGUGGACUGCUGACUGAGAUUUCCUUAUGCCUUGCUAACUUUGGGUGGCCACAAUCCCCCUUGUGUAUAGUGAUUUUAAACUGUUGUAGGAGGGCAACGUUUCACUAUAUGGUAAUUAUUAUUACACUUCUUAACCUGUGUGUAAAUUUUGGCAUUGUACCAACUGGCUGAACCUCACCUAUAUUGUAGUUGUGCAUAAUGUGUAAAUCUGUACACGUCCUUAGUUUCCUAUUACUCUUUCUUCAUCAAUAGAGGUGGAAUGUUUGAUAUCUGACUGGCAAUGACAGAGGCUCAGAGCGAAUUGCACUUAUUAACAUGUUUGAUAUAUAGUUUGCUAGCUUCAUUUUAGUAUAAGUUUAAAUCAGCUAAGACUAAGACUACACUUAUCUUGGCAAGUCAUGGAACAUUGUCAUUAGCUAGUAAUGAGGUGGUAGUUUGUUAUUUGAUUAGUUAGGUAAUUGUUAGUUAUCAUCUAGGUAGUUGUUUCAUUGUAUAAAUAGGACUCAGAGUUCCAAAGUAACUCAUUAGUGAAUUAUAUGAAUUGGAUGAACUUGGUUCAUUUGGAAAUUUUCUCUCGAAGGAUCUUUCAUUGAUCCUCCC
RNA transcript from Gastrolobium bilobum, 2756 nucleotides. It is a transcript of the gene named protein PHLOEM PROTEIN 2-LIKE A10-like, with no coding region annotated. The record is from RefSeq and is a predicted model, not a curated record. The transcript has 2 exons. Lineage: Eukaryota; Viridiplantae; Streptophyta; Magnoliopsida; Fabales; Fabaceae.